Molecule: long non-coding RNA, 1699 nt
Organism: Parambassis ranga (Indian glassy fish)
Lineage: Eukaryota; Metazoa; Chordata; Actinopteri; Ambassidae
Source: Ensembl
CUGGUUACUGGUGUUUGGAACACAGCCCGUGUUGUGAUGCUAAACGUAGGCUACAGAAGAAACGCGGCCCCUCUAGCUGGGACCAAAGUAAACCAUUUUUCACGCUAAUCGUCUGAUAGCGACAGUUUGUGCCAGUGCUUUAAUAAAAAGUAACGCUAACGGAAGCUAACUAGCGUUCGUCGGCUGUGUUAGAAGCAUCGCACAGCAUCGAAGGUUAGCAGUCAGCUAACCGGCCAAGAGUAACGGGAGUAACGGCGAAGCUGUGAAGAAGCGACUCCUGCAGUGUUGACACCAACCUCCAGAAAUGGAUGUGAGCAUUGCUGUGUCCUUGAUUCGAGGCCAGAUGGGCACCGUUGUUGAGCGAGCGGUGAACGCAGCCGUGGAGACGGUGCUGGCUGAGAUGCUCAAGGUAGUCGGAGUCAAAUUUGAGGAGCUGAAGACUCAGGUGAUGCUGAUGAAGAGAGAGAUUGUGGCCCUAAAGAGAGAGAAGGCCCUGAAAGAGAAGGAAAACGACAACAUUCGAGCUAAACUGCGCUACACAGAGCUGAAGCUGAAGUACUACAGGCAGGGCGUGGAGGAGGAGCUGCAGCAGAGAGCCUCUGCUUCCACCCUGGUCCGCAUCCAUCCGCCCCACUUCACCCGAACACAGAGAGGCGGAUCAGGCAUGUCACCCACUGACGCCUCACCAUCAUGCUCAGCUCAGACCAGGACUCCUGAAGGAGCGCUGACAAGAAGCAGCCACGAAUGCACCUCUUCACAGAGCACAAGCAGACGAGCCGUCAGAGUGCUCUGUCCUUCAGAGGCCAGCUCCAACUCCUCGGACCUGCUACCUGCCUCUCUCAUGGUGAACACACCGAUAGAGAGUCUGGACAGCAGUGCAGUCUUGUUGUGUUCCGCUGAGCGAGACCCGGCACAGAGGAAGGGUUUGGAUCAGGACGAGUGUGAGUGGACCGCCACUCUGCAGCCACACACAGAGGGUGCGGACGUCGGCGUGGACGGUGCUCCUGCAGGGCAGCUGGCUGCGGUGGGCUUGCACUCUAAUGGAUCUACACAGCCUGACAGCCGCACACUGCAAUCUUCUGCUCCACAGGUGACACGCACAUACUUUAGAUGAGAACCACAUCUGGAUUCAUGUCUGAACGUUCAUACUCUGAUGUGUCAUCAGCUUAGGUCCUUGUCAUGUCCUGAUCUGUGUAGGUGAAACAGGAGGAAGAGGAGGAGGAGGUGAUCUGUAUUAAGGAGGAGCCGGAGGAGCAGGAGCAGGAAGUGAUGGCCACCCUGCUGCUGGAUUGUCAGGUGCAGCAGGAUGACCUGCCAGACUCAGAGGUAAGGUUCCAGAGGAGGAAUGUUUGGAGCACAGAACAAUAAUAACUAGGGAUGUCCCGAUCCGAUCACGUGAUCGGAAAUCGGGCCCGAUCACGUGAUUUCAGACGAUCGGACAUUACCUCCCGAUCAGGACUGGGAUAUAUUUUUUAAGGCUGUCAAAGUUAACGCUUUCUGUGCAGGGUGGCUCUGUGUCCUGUAGCGCAGAGGUAUGACAGUUGCUUUUGGUGCAAGAGGUUCUGGGUUCGAGAUGUUGAUGUGCUGCGUGUGUGAAAUCUCCAAGUGUGGACACACACACACACACACAGACACACACACACACACACACACGGGUUUUGCCGCAACGACUGCCUUAUAGAAAGUAUCGGAUCGGGAC